GACGAACGCUGGCGGCGGGCUUAACACAUGCAAGUCGAACGAACGCCUUCGGGCGUUAGUGGCGCACGGGUGAGUAACACGUAGGCAAUCUACCCUCGGCUGGGGAAUAACCAGGGGAAACCCUGGCUAAUACCGCAUAACAUCUGGACGUCGCCUGGCGACCAGAUCAAAGCUUUAUGUGGCCGAGGAUGAGCCUGCGUCGGAUUAGCUAGUUGGUGGGGUAACGGCCUACCAAGGCGACGAUCCGUAGCGGGUCUGAGAGGAUGAUCCGCCACACUGGCACUGAGACACGGGCCAGACUCCUACGGGAGGCAGCAGUGAGGAAUAUUGCGCAAUGGACGAAAGUCUGACGCAGCCACGCCGCGUGCAGGAAGACCA
This 378-nucleotide ribosomal RNA is filed under the name uncultured bacterium. RNAcentral's name for it is "bacterial SSU rRNA". It matches the Rfam family "Bacterial small subunit ribosomal RNA", at positions 28 to 414 of the family's 1533-position model. The record is from RNAcentral.